RNAcentral lists this long non-coding RNA (1143 nucleotides) under Monodelphis domestica (gray short-tailed opossum). RNAcentral describes it as "lncRNA (ENSMODG00000049215.1)". Lineage: Eukaryota; Metazoa; Chordata; Mammalia; Didelphimorphia; Didelphidae. The record is from RNAcentral.
AUGGUAUGCUCAUCUGAUUUACAAAUGACAAGGAGCUGGGACUGAUGGCUAACGCAAUAGAGGAUUGAGUCAAUAUCCAAAAAGACCUCAGCAGAUCAGAAUGCAGGACAGACUUGAAUUCAAUGAAAUUUAAGUACUGAAGACACAAAACAAACAAUUUAUAGCCACUCCAUUGGACAGCCUAGAGAUUAGCAAGGGAAAUGAUUCUUCUCCUUUAUUUUCCUGGCACAGAGGAAAUGAUUUUCUACACAGGUGCCUUUCAUGUGGAUCAUCCCCACACCAAGGAGAAGCCUGGAAUGGAGCCUACAAGGUUGGACCUGUGGCUGCAGAGUUUGAGCAUGACCUCAUUUAUCUGGGAAGUGUACCCACUCGAGAAAGGAAGUAGGAUAUCACAGCUAACACCACCUCUAGAGUCCAGAGAUACCUAUCCUCAAUCCUGCUUUCUGGCCCCGACUGGCUCUAUACCCAGAAUCAACUUCUCUGGGGCUCAGUUUCCCAAUCUGAAAAUUCCCAAUGAGUUAUCCAUCCCUGCACUCCUGUCCAGUGAAUUUUCCCUUGUAACGAAGAAAAAGAGUUCAGUGAAACUAAGAGAAACAUCUCUGACCAGGCAAACAUUUGGUACCAGUAGUCAUUCACUUCUCUUAUGAAAUGAAGAUAGACAUUCAUUUCCUCUUCUCUUCUCUUGCUCUAAGAUUAGUCUAAUAGAGUUCAGGAAUUUUUUAAUCUAGGAGACUAUGAACUUAUUUAAAUAUUUAGAUAGCAAUGUGUCAGUAUAUUUGCUUUCCUUUGUAUUCCAUUAUGUUUCAUUUUACACAUUUAAAACCAUGAUUCUGAGAUAGAGUUCAUAGGCAGCAUCAGACAGAAAAAGAGGUCCAUCACACAUAGAAGGGUGUGAACUCCAGCUAUAAUUAGGCAGUGUUGACUUUCAGCUUUAUUGUUCUUUUCAUAGAUGCCAUCGUCAUUAUUAUAGAAUUCUUGUAUUUCCAGUUGGCCUUACCUCACUCUUGAACAGUACAAACACAUUGACCAGUCCUUGUUUCUUUGACUUCCUUGUAUGUGCCAUUCUUCUUGGCACAGUAAUAUCCCUUUAAAGAGCUAUCAAACAUGCCACACACCUGAGCAUGGCCAGAGCCAAAUUAAAAU